This 60-nucleotide unclassified non-coding RNA is filed under the name synthetic construct. The record is from RNAcentral.
AUGUGCUAUACAAAUACUUUUUUGGUGUCUACCGCGUACGCAUACGAUUGGGGGUGUUUC